RNAcentral lists this long non-coding RNA (7134 nucleotides) under Gallus gallus (chicken). The record is from RNAcentral. Lineage: Eukaryota; Metazoa; Chordata; Aves; Galliformes; Phasianidae.
GCGGCUGUGGCGGCCGAGCCGGGGGGUGGUUCGCGCUGUGCUGCUCGGCCGCGCUGCGGUACCGACCCGGUCCGGCGACCGGCCCCGCUCCACGGCGGGCAGCCCGAUAGGCACAGGGAGCGAGGACCGGGAGCUGGAUGGCGGUGUGGAGGCCUGAGGCGAAGGCUAAGCCUGCCCCUCCCCGGGCCGCCUUCAGCGAGCUUCGGCGCGGGUCUCCGCGUUGAGAGAAGUGAUGAGUCAGGUUUGCUCGGCUCCAUGCUAAUGCACGGAGAUGGAGGGUGUAAUUAGUAGAGAGGCAGGGCUGUGAUCUGCAGCGCGGGGCGGCCGGGCCACGCACCUCCUCUGUGCUUCAGAGCGUCGCUGAAGUUCUCCUUGUUUCGUGCUCCUCCAGCCCCAACGGUGUAUAUGCAGGGUUUGGUGGGAGCAGAGCCACAGACGUCGGAAGGUGUCUGUGUGUGAAGCACCCCGCGUUAUGUAAUUCUGAUGUUGAAAGAUGACGGUAAGAAGGAUUUGAUUUAGUCAUGGAAACUGAAUAUUGCGGCUCCCCAAAUCUCUAAGAAGUCUUAGGAUGUUGCAUACAGCGUUCUCAAGGUUUCUCCCGUCCAAGUAAUUGUAAAUGGCCCGCUUGAGAGCUGUGAUCUGCUUUAUAUGCUUUCAUCCAUUAGAAUACCUCUUGUCUUUGCAAAACGACACAUUGUGUAAUUUAGGCAACUGGCUGGGCUAAGAAGGGCACAAUGAAGUGAGUAAUUUACAUCUCUUAGGGAGAUUAAUUGAACCCAGCUCUGGUCGUCUUCAAGAACUACUGAGAAGUUUCUCGGCAAACUUCUCCACCCGAAGUAAAAUCACAGCCUCCGCCACCUUGCCCCUUCCAGCAGCUUCUGAAGGAAUCUUCACCUCAAACAGAGCUGUCAGCAGCAGUGAGGGCUGCCACUCACCAGUCAUUUCAAUGCGGAAAGCACUCGAGACACAGCAACAGGCAACAGAACGCAGCGCUCACAGAGAAACAAAUUGACAAGUACCCACGACUGGACAUCCUCAGAAACACGGUUGUGUCCUGUUCCUCUCCACUGCAGUUAUUCCCACUCAGAGUGACCACUUCAGAGCUUUAACAAAGCCCAUUACAAACGGGAACAUUUUCCGUUAGCCAAGUGAGUGUGAAAGUAAAGCUGACACGUAAGGCAACUUACAAUUGGAGAAAUUUGAUAUCUAGUCUCUGUUCUGCCACAAACUUCUUGUGAGAGGAGGAGGGACAUACUCUCCCAGAUGCCUGAAGUACUCUGUGAACUACCUCCCUUAAACUAUAAGCACUUAAGUACCUUUGUGGCUCCCAGACUUGCCAUUCAGCUGUUUAGUGUCUGAGAACUCUCAAGAGAAACAUACACUUUGUGUUUCAUUGUUUCUGGAAACAAUACAGCAAAUAGAAGUCGACUAACCUACUUUCCUGCACUCCCCCAACAAAUUCUCUUGCAUAUCUAUUCUGAAACUCUUUUUUUUUCUUCUCUUUUCUUUAUAUAAUCAGUUUUGAUGCCUAAUGGAAGUGGAAAAAGUACCUAACUGGGCCAGAUGCAGCGCAUCUCCAGUAUCAGUAUUAAAUAAUUGAUUGACUAGAGACCAUUUAAAAAAAAAAAUGUCAAGAUACCUGAGGCCUUUGUCUAGAUGCAGUAUUUUGAAAUGAGUUGUUAGGAUCCCCAUAGCACAGAUCAUGUAAAAUGCUGUAUAUGUGCUUAACUUAUGCCAUCGGCAAGGUCCUGAUGCCUGGCAAGACAUGUGCAUUGUGUGACUGAAUUUAAGCCCUUGGCUUGUUCCCUUUCAAGUUAAACAAAUGUGUAACUUCUGCAGGUCUUUGCACAAGCUGUCUUCUUUGUGAACACAGCCACAUUCCUGAAAGUUCUCCUUGUAAAUUUAUUUCUCAAAAGAAAUAUUACAAAAAGUAUCUGGUACUCCCUUCACCAUUACCUGUCAGCUUCUAUGAUCCAACUGUACCUUAGUUGUUGUCUACUGCUGUGCAUUUCUUUCAGUUCCUGUCCAGUUACUGAAUGGUAAAGGAAAGCAGAAUCCUGAAGUUAUGAGGUAAUUAAGUUACCAGCAGCCUGGCACCUUGACCUGCCCAGAAAUCUUAAGGUGGUGGUGAAUUCUACAAACACAAUCGGUCUUCUCUGCUGAGGUCACCCAAAGAGGCUGCCAGUUAUUGCCAUGCAUGGGAAAGGGGGAGAAUUUUUUUCUUGAUGGCAUGUACCACAGUGGCUUGAGACCAUCACAUCCUUCCAGACAGAUCACUGACCUGCCAAGUCGGAUUUGCUUAAGUGGUUACCGGUUUCAGCAGAAUUUUAUCAUUGGUGAUUGAAAAUUUUGUGAAGUUUUACAACCAAAGAGUAAUACUAAUUAAUAACAGAGGAACACGCUUCCAAAGGAAAGUAGGGUUUUCUCUGCCUUCUUAAGUAUUCGGGUGCAUUCUUGAGAGACAUAUUACAGCCAGGCAUGGGUUCUGUGCUCACUGUAGGAGUAACCGAAUGAGAUGCGAAAGCCAGAGUUCACCUAAUGCUUUAUGCAGCCUUUGAGCUGGUUCAAAUCAAUCAGCUAAGAGAUGUAGCCCAUCAAAACACCAAGCUGUCUUCACCCCUGGUAAUGAGCACCUACACCAUGGUGGGAUGCCAGAUUUGAACUCACUUUGUGGCUGUGAAAUUUCUGCCUGGACUUUCCUAAUGAGCAAGUAGAGAGCGGUACGGUGCAUCUCCACUGCCUUCCAGAAAGCACUGCACCCAACAGCCAUCAGCUGAAAACCAAUCUGUCCACGCAAGCUAAGUCGGAAGAUGCUGCGUAGAUGGGCUGUGUCCUGGAAAAUUCCACCUGGCCGUGGUGUGCAUGCAGAUGCUACUGGAGUGCUCAGUAGGUCCACAUCUGUUCUUCCUGUGAUGCAAACCUGCUGUAGAAGGGCACAGUUCUUUCACUCUCCAUACAUAAGUACAAAAGCUUGAUGCUUCCUGAAAAGGUCGGAUUGAGAAGAUCAGUGCUGUAAAACUGAACUAGUUAUGCAGUGGAUGUGUUUGCAAUUCAAAGACCUCCAGCAGCUCAGAGAGAAAGGAAAGGAUGAGGCAGCUGCCACGCAAUAACUCAGACUGGACUGCUACAAGACUAGAGAUUUCAUAAGAAAUUAAAAGAUCCUCAAAUUUUGUUCAUUAAAAACAAAGCAAAACAAAACAAAACAAAAACCCUUCAGAAGCAGGAGAAGGGGAUAUGUGAGCACCUAACUAGAGACUUACCCACUCUCCCCAUCUGACUGCCACUCUAAAGCCCUGUGCAAGUGUCAGAUGGGUGACUGACAUGCUACAUGCCUUUCAUUUCUUGAGUCUAUGAAUCAUUCAGCAGAGCCAUAUGAAACAUGGAUAGAUAGGAAAAUUGAUAUGGUUUCUCAAAGGUCAGAAAAGCCAGCACAUUACCAGCAUGUCAAACAAGUGACAGUCCUGCAUUCAUUAUCACCAGGCUUGGUGCACCAUUUUAGCAUUGUUUGCACAGGACUUUUAUUGCGUUCUUUGAGGAAGGAAGGGCAGCAGAUAAAGUUUGUGCCCUGACACUACAAAAUGACUUCCCAUCCUCAAAAUUACACACGCAAAUUUGCAAAAUGAGUGUUCAGAUAAUUACAUGAGAAGGCAAGAUGUCAGAGUUUGUGGAAUUCUUCCUCGAGGGUGGGGGCACACACUUUUUCAUUAGCAGCAUUUAAACCCUGACUAGAUAAAGCACUCUUAAAUUAUGUUUAUCGUAUGAAACAAUUACAGCCUGGCCAGGAGAACUGAACUUGCCAACUCAAUAGGCUUUUUAAAUAUCUAAUUUCUUGGACAAAUACGUAAUUCUAAAAAACAUUACAUCACUACCCAACCAAGAAAUCCUUUCUCUCUCUGUUUUUCUGUGGUUUGCACGAUAAUUUGCUAAAUACAUUUCAGCGUGUUGUUUACUUCAGCUCAGCCUUCUGAGACCACACAGGCCAAUGCUGAGACAGUAAAUAGGGAUCAUCUAGAAAAAAAAAAAAAAAAAAACAGGUUAUGCUUCAAGUUGAGUUGGGAAAUAUUCAAGUUCACUUUGGAAGUAUUUUGGGCCAUACAAUUUUGGGGGGGUGAUACACUGGGGAAAUGCAUUAAUUGAAAGAAAAUCCAAAAAGCAUGACACAGGUAGCCUUGUUAGUGGUCUUCCUCCUGAUUCAGGAGAAUUAUAAAUGAUCCCCUGUAACGUAUUCUUGUAGAUGUGAAUCCUGUGAACAAAUGCUGGUGAGUCCAGGAUUUGAGGUCUGCACAACAGCUGCUGACUCAUCAGGAUUUUGUCACUUCCCUGAAGAUGUUGCUGAGUGUUGGCUUUGGAUCUCAGGUGUCCCUCAUUAAGAACUGCCUAUUUUGCCUCAAACCCUCUUGUGGCAGCCAGGCUGCUGAGGAGCCAAGAGUUCAAAAGCUGAAGGGCUAAAAAGAGGGCAAGCAAGAGGGAGCUUUGGUUCAGUUGUGUGCCUGGCCAGCCUUUUUUUUUUUUUUUUUUUUUGCACAGAUGUCUUUGUCUUGCUGGAAAAAAAGUUCUCAAGCAGCAGAACUUGUCUGUUCAUAUUUUGCAAAUGAAACACAUGGUACGGCAUGAUGCCAUGUUAAAGAUGGAGCUGAUCAGUGAAAUUAGCUUCCGUUACUCACUGGCAAUGGUAUGGCUUUCAUUAUUUUCACAACAAAUACAAAACUCAGCAGCCUUUAGGAUAUGGCACAUAAUUAAUGUCCAUUUCCCAUUGAAGCCCCCCAAGAUAUGACUCUAAGUACAUUGGAAGAUGAGGCUGAAUUGUAACACAGUUUUAUUCUUUGUUUCUGGACAAAGAAGGCUGAAGUGAUGAAACAUUUGCAUCUGUUUUAAACUUGGCUUAUUUCAUUUUUAAUUUUUUUUUUUUUUAAUCCCACUGCAUUAUUUUUCUGACGGCUACACCCUGAAAAAACAGGUUGUCAGUGCAAGCAGGGUUUUCUCAGAAGGUACCCACAAGAAGCAAUUAGACGUGUGAGCAAAGGCAGUCAGCACAUGGGAUCCUCCCCAGCGAAACAGGCUCAGCGCUGAAGGCUCGUCUGCAUGGCAUGUUUCUUCUUUCAUCGAACACCAGCAAAAUGCCAGGAACAUUCCUGGACAGGAGAAAUCUUGAAUUCUGCAAUUCAGCCUUAAAGAAACACUCCUCUGGGGAACUGCCCAACUGCCUGAUGGAAAUGAGUGACUCCUGUAUGCAGAUCUGCCUUCGAAGACUCUGACCUAUUUCAGCCCAGCUUUGCAGAACACACAAGCUCUAUUUAUGAUGCUGCAGGAAGGGAAAGGCAGGGUGCAAGCAAUGCACCUUGCUCUGCUGGGAAAGAGCUGGCAGCCCCAGCUCCAGCAGUGAAGCCCCGCAUCAGGAGAUGGUGGGACCUGGCUCCUGUUGGGGCAAUGAGUAACAUCAUCACAUCUGACUGAACCUCUGGCAUGUAGACUUGACUACUUACUCUUGCUGCAGAAGCAUUUAUAUUGACACAGAUUCAGGAAGAUGCUGCACAGCAGAAUCAGGGAAACAACUGUUUUAUAAGCAGAGUGAUGCCUUCAUACAGCACAACAGUGUGAUCUGCGAUGGAAAACAUAACAGGACUGUAUUCCACAGCAAGGUCAUGUUUUGAGAAUUUUAUUCGUCCUCAUUUCUAUUAAAGUGUCUUUUUACAGGGAGAAAUAACUUCUUUUAGUUAUGCUGUAUUGCUCUUGAAACUUAACCUUCCUCUAGCUGGGCUCUAUAAAUCACGGAUUUUCUUAUAAACAGAUUACAGAUCCGCUUACAUCUUUGUAUUAUUUGGCUCCUUCAUUUCAGAAACAGUAUGGGCCAUAUUCUCCCCUGGCAUAGCUCCAUUCCCAGUAUUCUUAUUUUGAGGAUGCUGGGCCAGAUUCCUGAUCUCUCUGCUUUGUCAAUGGGCGCUAAGAGCCAUGCUGCUGCGAUCACUGCUGUCACAUAUCAGUAACACCACUCUGCUGCUGAGCAGAACAUAGCCCUCUGCUUAAACAGCACUUUGAUCAAGUGAAAUAAGGAAAAUAUUGCUGAAUGUAGCCUUCAGCAUAUUACUUGUUCUGCUGAAAGAUCAUCCGCUCUUGGCUUAGCUUAUUUCAAGCAUGACAGUCCAGGAAAAAGAGUGUACCUGUGAGUGAAAUAAGACUCAGUGGGAGUCAAUAAGACCCAAAGUAUUGCGGUAUUCAUAAAUGUAUAUUUGUGCUGAAGCAUGCUAAACCUCAAAGGCUGGAUAUAAAUAUCAAUGUCUAUUGAAUUUCAGGAAGAGAUGGCUGGUGGAAAGCAUGCCCGAUGCCGUUCUGCAAUGUGCAACCCUGUUUACACAGGGGCUAUUCAUAGGCACGUUCCUGCUGCUGGGCAGGGAAUUUGCCUCUUCCCAGCCAGCUCAUGCAAAGCAAAUUCUCCUCUAUAGUUCUCAGGCUGGAAAUUUAGCUUCCCUUGAAGUAAAGCAGCAGUGCUGUGCUUCCAUGCAAGCGAUGGGCCAGCUGAAGGUGCGGGACAAGGAGCUGCCCAAAACCUGCCAAAGGACAAAAGCAGCUUCAUAAAGGCAGAGGUCAAAAUGGCACUGAUGUCUCCUUGUGAUCAAAUGCAGGCUGCACUUCUUUAAUCAGAAAAUGUGCCACAGUUGGAAUCCGGCAAAAUGAAUUCUAAGCACGUCCCUUCUGCAGCCAGUUUUCCUUCUGCCCACUGGGACAGUGGAGAGAUGACACAGUUCAGAAGUAAACCCACAGCACGGAUUUGUGAUUCUGUCAGAUUGGAUUCUCCUUCCCCACUCCUGGACUUGCUCUGGAGGUCUCUAGGCUUUAUGAAGCUGUAAUGGACAAGGAGAGCACUGGGGAAUUAAAGCCCACCUGCCUCCUGCUAUCCCCUUUCAGGGCUUUUUGGACUGGUGCUUCCUGGAGCUAGUGAGAUCCAUUCAUGAAAGGUGCUGAAUGGCAAACACAAAAGUCCAGAAAGAGUAGUUGUCUUAGGAGUUAUCGAGAACAGUGCCUACUACUUGACAAGCUGCAGAGAAAGUAAAGCCAGAAAAUGCCCACAUUGAGAACAAAGCUGAUGUGACGACUGAGUGCCUGAGAAUGGCACCAAUGGGAAGAGCUCAGCACGGC